This 253-nucleotide ribosomal RNA is filed under the name uncultured bacterium. Its description in RNAcentral is "partial 16S ribosomal RNA". It matches the Rfam family "Bacterial small subunit ribosomal RNA", at positions 524 to 776 of the family's 1533-position model. The record is from RNAcentral.
UACGAAGGGGGCUAGCGUUGUUCGGAAUUACUGGGCGUAAAGCGCGCGCAGGUGGUCUUUCAAGUCAGUGGUGAAAGCCCGGAGCUCAACUCCGGAAAUGCCAUUGAAACUGUAAGACUUGAGGAUGAGAGAGGUGAGUGGAAUUCCCAGUGUAGAGGUGAAAUUCGUAGAUAUUGGGAAGAACACCGGUGGCGAAGGCGGCUCACUGGCUCAUAUCUGACGCUCAGGCGCGACAGCGUGGGUAGCAAACAGG